RNAcentral lists this ribosomal RNA (1095 nucleotides) under Meesia triquetra. Its description in RNAcentral is "eukaryotic LSU rRNA". It matches the Rfam family "Eukaryotic large subunit ribosomal RNA", at positions 61 to 1126 of the family's 3401-position model. The record is from RNAcentral. Lineage: Eukaryota; Viridiplantae; Streptophyta; Bryopsida; Splachnales; Meesiaceae.
AAAACUAACCAGGAUUUCCCUAGUAACGGCGAGCGAACCGGAAAGAGCCCAGCUUGAAAAUCGAGGCGCCCCGCGCCCCGAAUUGUAGUCUGGAGAAGCUCCCUCUGCGGCGCACCGGGCCCAAGUCCCCUGGAAAGGGGCGUCAGAGAGGGUGAGAACCCCGUCAGAGCCCGGACAGGCGCCGCUCCACGAGGAGCUGUCUGCGAGUCGGGCUGUUUGGGAAUGCAGCCCUAAGCGGGAGGUAAAUUCCUUCCAAGGCUAAAUAUGGGCAAGAGACCGAUAGCGAACAAGUACCGCGAGGGAAAGAUGAAAAGGACUUUGAAAAGAGAGUUAAAAAGUGCUUGAAAUUGCUGGGAGGGAAGCGAAUGGAAGCUGCGGGUGCGCCCCGGUUGGAUGUGGAACGGCCGUCAGAAAGCUGGUCCGCCGCUCAACGCGGGGCGCUGGUCAACGUGGGCCUCCGCGCCGGGACAAGAGCGGGACUUCGCGUCCCGUCCCAUGCCGGUGCGGGGGCCGAGGAACGAAGCGCGCGCCCCCUCUGACAUGUCAGAGGGCGGCGUGGGGUCCGCCCCAACUGCGCGCUCGGGACGCUGGCGCAUUGAGCUCUUCAUCCGACCCGUCUUGAAACACGGACCAAGGAGUCUAACAUGUAUGCGAGCCGGUGGGCGGCAAACCCAUUGAGGCGCAAGUAACCUGACAGGUGGGACCCCGACCGCGAGGGAGGGAGCACCAUCGACCGACCGUGAUCUUCUGUGAAAGGUUUGAGUGCGAGCAUACCCGUUGGGACCCGAAAGAUGGUGAACUAUGCCUGAGCAGGGCGAAGCCAGAGGAAACUCUGGUGGAGGCUCGUAGCGAUACUGACGUGCAAAUCGUUCGUCAGACUUGGGUAUAGGGGCGAAAGACUAAUCGAACCAUCUAGUAGCUGGUUCCCUCCGAAGUUUCCCUCAGGAUAGCUGGAGCUCGUGUGACAGUUUUAUCAGGUAAAGCGAAUGAUUAGAGGCAUCGGGGGUGUAACACCCUCGACCUAUUCUCAAACUUUAAAUAGGUAAGCCGCCGGGGUUGCUCGGUUGAACCCCGGCACAGAAUGAGAGAUCCCAA